This 408-nucleotide ribosomal RNA is filed under the name uncultured bacterium. Its description in RNAcentral is "bacterial SSU rRNA". It matches the Rfam family "Bacterial small subunit ribosomal RNA", at positions 42 to 452 of the family's 1533-position model. The record is from RNAcentral.
UCAGGCCUAACACAUGCAAGUCGUACGAGGUGUAAAUAAUUCACUUGUGUAUUGUUUAUUACUACAGUGGCGCACGGGUGAGUAACACGUAAGAACCUGCCUUUUGGAGGGGGAUAACAUAGGGAAACCUUUGCUAAUACCCCAUAAAGCUGAGGAGCUAAAUCGCAUUUGCGGCCAAGAGAGGGGCUUGCGCCUGAUUAGCUAGUUGGGGAGGUAAUGGCUUCCCAAGGCCACGAUCAGUAGUUGGUCUGAGAGGAUGAUCAGCCACACUGGACUGAGACACGGCCCAGACUCCUACGGGAGGCAGCAGUGAGGAAUUUUCCGCAAUGGGCGAAAGCCUGACGGAGCAAUACCGCGUGAAGGAAGAAGGAUCGUGGUCUGUAAACUUCUUUUCUCAGAGAAGAAGAU